AGUUUGAUCCUGGCUCAGAUUGAACGCUGGCGGCAUGCCUUACACAUGCAAGUCGAACGGCAGCACGGGAGCUUGCUCCUGGUGGCGAGUGGCGAACGGGUGAGUAAUACAUCGGAACGUGCCCAGUCGUGGGGGAUAACGUAGCGAAAGUUACGCUAAUACCGCAUACGAUCUAUGGAUGAAAGCGGGGGAUCGCAAGACCUCGCGCGAUGGGAGCGGCCGAUAUCGGAUUAGCUUGUUGGUGAGGUAAAGGCUCACCAAGGCGACGAUCCGUAGCUGGUCUGAGAGGACGACCAGCCACACUGGAACUGAGACACGGUCCAGACUCCUACGGGAGGCAGCAGUGGGGAAUUUUGGACAAUGGGGCAACCCUGAUCCAGCCAUUCCGCGUGAGUGAAGAAGGCCUUCGGGUUGUAAAGCUCUUUCAGCAGGAACGAAACGGUGGCCACUAAUACUGGCUACUAAUGACGGUACCUGAAGAAGAAGCACCGGCUAACUACGUG
Molecule: ribosomal RNA, 503 nt
Filed under: uncultured bacterium
Lineage: Bacteria
Description: bacterial SSU rRNA
Rfam family: Bacterial small subunit ribosomal RNA
Source: RNAcentral